ACUCAAAUGAAUUGACGGGGACCCGCACAAGCGGUGGAGCAUGUUGUUUAAUUCGACGCAACGCGAAGAACCUUACCUACGCUUGACAUACCAAGUAUGGAUACCAGAGAUGGAAUCCUUCAGUUCGGCUGGCUUGGAUACAGGUGCUGCAUGGCUGUCGUCAGCUCGUGUCGUGAGAUGUUGGGUUAAGUCCCGCAACGAGCGCAACCCUUAUCGUUAGUUGCCAUCAUUCAGUUGGGCACUCUAGUGAGACUGCCGGUGACAAGCCGGAGGAAGGUGGGGACGACGUCAAGUCAUCAUGGCCCUUACGCGUAGGGCUACAAACGUGCUACAAUGGCGGUGACAGUGGGCUCCGAGGCAGCGAUGCCAAGGAAAUCCCAAAAAGCCGUCUCAGUUCGGAUUGUUCUCUGCAACUCGAGAGCAUGAAGUUGGAAUCGCUAGUAAUCGUGGAUCAGCAUGCCACGGUGAAUACGUUCCCGGGUCUUGUACACACCGCCCGU
This 500-nucleotide ribosomal RNA is filed under the name uncultured bacterium. RNAcentral describes it as "partial 16S ribosomal RNA". It matches the Rfam family "Bacterial small subunit ribosomal RNA", at positions 899 to 1397 of the family's 1533-position model. The record is from RNAcentral.